UGUGAAGCAUGCUUAAUUAACUGGUUGGUAAGAAACCCUCUUCUCUUUCUUUUUAAAGCAUAAACAAUUGCAUCUGUGAGAAGAAAUCUAUUUCCUUUUAGCACAGGUGUGGCUUUUAAAUUCUCUUCACCAUACUUCCUAUCUCUUCAAAUGAAGUUCACAGGAAGGAAAGGUGGUAGUGGUACUAGGAAAGACUUUGUGUAUCUUGCUAGCUAAAAUGCAUUUUCUCCAUUUCUCUAAUUGUAGUUUACAGAAAAUGACUGUGUGCUUGUUUUCCUAAGGCCCAAGCUCCUGAAGUCAGGCUUACAACCUAAGGUAAAGCCCUUGGUGAUGAUCCCAGUGAAAAAGCUGCCGGACUGUGACCAUGGGUCUGACUCAGACCCAGAAGUUUUAAGGAGCCAAGUUUCUGAAGCAUGAGGUCACUGAAUCUUCAAAAACCAAACUAGACACUGACUUUUUAAUGUCUUUGGCUGCUUUCUCAGAUCAUCAAGUUGUCCAGCAUUUUUCAGUACUGAAACCAAUAUUGAUUUCUUUCCGUUUUUAAUAAAGUCAUUGAAAGUGAAUAUCA
Molecule: long non-coding RNA, 568 nt
Filed under: Anser brachyrhynchus (Pink-footed goose)
Lineage: Eukaryota; Metazoa; Chordata; Aves; Anseriformes; Anatidae
Description: lncRNA (ENSABRG00000012369.1)
Source: RNAcentral